Long non-coding RNA from Gorilla gorilla gorilla (western lowland gorilla), 325 nucleotides. RefSeq lists it as uncharacterized. NCBI's taxonomy places the organism in Eukaryota, Metazoa, Chordata, Mammalia, Primates, Hominidae. The record is from RefSeq and is a predicted model, not a curated record. The transcript has 3 exons.
CCACUGAUAACCUCCAUGAGAAAUGAAUUCCCAAUGGGUGACAAAACUUCAGCUUUAAGAGGUUAAAAGACUUGUCCAGAGUCAUGUUAACAGACAGGAUCUCCCUCUGUUACCCAGGCUGGAGUGCAGCAGCGCAAUCUCAGCUCACUGCACCCUCCACCUCCCAGGCUCAGGAGAUUCUCCUGCUUCAGCCUCCCAAGUAGCUGGGAUUACAAGCGUGCACCACCAAGCCCGGCUGAUUUUCUGUAUUUUAGUAGAGGUGGGGUUUCACCUAAUAUUAAAGUCCAUCAUCUUGUACUAAAGAUAUAAAAUGUUGACCUUUCCU